Molecule: ribosomal RNA, 433 nt
Filed under: uncultured bacterium
Lineage: Bacteria
Description: partial 16S ribosomal RNA
Rfam family: Bacterial small subunit ribosomal RNA
Source: RNAcentral
AACGAACGCUGGCGGCAUGCCUAACACAUGCCAGUCGAACGAAGGCUUCGGCCUUAGUGGCGCAUGGGUGCGUAACGCGUGGGAAUCUGCCCUUUGGUUCGGAAUAACAGCUGGAAACGGCUGCUAAUACCGGAUGAUGACGAAAGUCCAAAGAUUUAUCGCCAGAGGAUGAGCCCGCGUUGGAUUAGGUAGUUGGUGGGGUAAAGGCCUACCAAGCCGACGAUCCAUAGCUGGUCUGAGAGGAUGAUCAGCCACACUGGGACUGAGACGCGGCCCGGACUCCUACGGGAGGGAGCAGUGGGGAAUAUUGGACAAUGGGCGCAAGCCUGACCCAGCAAUGGCGCGUGAGUGAUGAAGGCCCUAGGGUAGUAAAGCUCUUUUACCCGGGAAGAUAAUGACUGUACCGGGAGAAUAAGCCCCGGCUAACUCCGUG